CACACACACACACACACACACACACACACACACACACACACACACACACUCACGGCCCUCCUCCUCCAGAUACAGGACACUUUUGUUCUGUGUUUUCAUCAGGAGUGCAGUGAAUCGAGAGCGAGAGGCAGUGUGACAGAAGAGAUGCUUCAGAGCUCAAGUCAAAGGUCUGUCACGGGCCGCUGGUCGACAUGUGUGGCUCUUCUGAUGCUCCUCAUUGGUCAGAUUUCCGCAGAGACGAGCAGCAGCUCAAACGCCUGUCAGGGUCAGAAUGCUCUUCAUGACCGGAUGGACGCCGUAGAGAAGCGGGUGGACGACACUCUUCAGAAGCUGGAGGCUGAGCUGGCUCUUCUGCUGGAUGCUGUCGAGGCCCCAGAGUGGAGCCCCCUGCUGGACAAACCACUCAUCGACAUACUGGACGAGCCGCCAGCAACGGAUUCAUGAGAACAUGAUGAUCAUUAGAGGUGUAUGUGUGUGCAUCUUACAGCAUGUCAAAUCAAACACAUCUGACUCAUAUUUAUCAAAUAUUAUCAUUUUGACAUUAUUUUCAUGACAAAUGAACACAGUGAAUACAGCAGUUCUCUGCCUUUUUGACUCCAACCCCCUCACCGUCCAGAGCAACAAUCACAGGCCGACCCGUGUACGUUCAAUCUCAUUCACAAGCUGUCAAGAUUUCUAUUUAACCCUUUUUUAAUUAUGAAAAAUAGGCUUGUCUAGAGAUUAAAAUUAAUAACU
Molecule: long non-coding RNA, 735 nt
Organism: Cyprinus carpio (common carp)
Lineage: Eukaryota; Metazoa; Chordata; Actinopteri; Cypriniformes; Cyprinidae
Source: Ensembl